ACCCGGGUGGUUCAGUCGGUAGAGCACGUGACUCUUGAUCUCGGGGUUGUGAGUUCAAGCCCCAUGUUGGGUG
Molecule: transfer RNA, 73 nt
Filed under: Canis lupus familiaris (dog)
Lineage: Eukaryota; Metazoa; Chordata; Mammalia; Carnivora; Canidae
Also listed under: 1 other name
Rfam family: tRNA
About the family: Transfer RNA (tRNA) molecules are approximately 80 nucleotides in length. Their secondary structure includes four short double-helical elements and three loops (D, anti-codon, and T loops). Further hydrogen bonds mediate the characteristic L-shaped molecular structure. tRNAs have two regions of fundamental functional importance: the anti-codon, which is responsible for specific mRNA codon recognition, and the 3' end, to which the tRNAs corresponding amino acid is attached (by aminoacyl-tRNA synthetases). tRNAs cope with the degeneracy of the genetic code in two manners: having more than one tRNA (with a specific anti-codon) for a particular amino acid; and 'wobble' base-pairing, i.e. permitting non-standard base-pairing at the 3rd anti-codon position.
Source: Rfam by way of RNAcentral